This is a long non-coding RNA of Asparagus officinalis (garden asparagus), 958 nucleotides long. RefSeq lists it as uncharacterized. The transcript has 5 exons. The record is from RefSeq and is a predicted model, not a curated record. Lineage: Eukaryota; Viridiplantae; Streptophyta; Magnoliopsida; Asparagales; Asparagaceae.
UUAAUUCCCUUCCAACUUGAUUCCGUAUACUUGGAGCUAUCAUGCUGUGCAUAAACACCAAGCUUGAAGUAAUGAAAGCUUCCUCUUCCAUCAGGAAUAGAUGGUGUCUUGGACAAAAGAUAUGUAAAGAGAUAUUUUAGCAUUACUUUGACGUGGAUUUCAGCCCGAGAUUUGUUUCACUUGCACGAGAAUGUGGGCUAUCUGUAGAAUACAACCAGAGCCUGUGUACUCCACUGAUGUAACUGUACUGAUCGUUAAGACGUAAAUUAUACGGCCACUGCUUCCUGAAAUUCUCUGAUGUUAAUCUCACAGCUUCAAAGCCAUUGUUCACCAUCGGAGCUGGCCAUUUUGAUGCAAAUUUCUAAGAGGUUUACUGGAUUUAAGUUUGAAGAUUCAUAAGCCUUCUGUUUUUCUAGAGGAAGAAAAUUUUUCCAGUUCCCCUCUGCUCAAUGACCUAUAGGAUUGGACAGUGACAUAUAUCGUAUCACGAGAGGAUAAAAAUGAUGAUGGCGAAGACCUAAAUGCUAGCAAUGAAAGUCAUCCGAGAAACAAAAAAGAGAACAGAGAUGGCUCGGGUUGGCAAAAUUGACUCAUAUGGCGGUAAUAGCCGUAUAUCAAAAUCAAAAUUCCAUUCGACAGACCGGAGAAAAGUUCGUUCAAAAUCGUGGAACCCAUUAGAAGGAGGCGCAUGUUUAAGGACUACAACAGGGGCAGAAGAGGAGAGAGUGGCGAAACGCACUCGUAGGGCUGCCCAUAACUUGAAGCUGCAGGACCUAGUCAAGUCGAACAUCGCUGGUGAUUGCGAUGACAACUUCUCCGAGGCUCUCUGACUUGGAAGGUUUCUUCUCCAAGUUGUCGUUCCAGUUCUUAUUUCUAUUCUCGCCGUCGAUGCGACUUACUCUCCCGUCAGUAAGCUGCUUAAUGCCAGUUUUUAGAAAGACUUCGUGUUUGUAGCUUU